RNAcentral lists this ribosomal RNA (1172 nucleotides) under uncultured Bacteroides sp. Its description in RNAcentral is "bacterial SSU rRNA". It matches the Rfam family "Bacterial small subunit ribosomal RNA", at positions 10 to 1177 of the family's 1533-position model. Lineage: Bacteria; Pseudomonadati; Bacteroidota; Bacteroidia; Bacteroidales; Bacteroidaceae. The record is from RNAcentral.
AGUUUGAUCCUGGCUCAGGAUGAACGCUAGCUACAGGCUUAACACAUGCAAGUCGAGGGGCAGCAUGGUCUUAGCUUGCUAAGGCCGAUGGCGACCGGCGCACGGGUGAGUAACACGUAUCCAACCUGCCGUCUACUCUUGGACAGCCUUCUGAAAGGAAGAUUAAUACAAGAUGGCAUCAUGAGUUCACAUGUUCACAUGAUUAAAGGUAUUCCGGUAGACGAUGGGGAUGCGUUCCAUUAGAUAGUAGGCGGGGUAACGGCCCACCUAGUCUUCGAUGGAUAGGGGUUCUGAGAGGAAGGUCCCCCACAUUGGAACUGAGACACGGUCCAAACUCCUACGGGAGGCAGCAGUGAGGAAUAUUGGUCAAUGGGCGAGAGCCUGAACCAGCCAAGUAGCGUGAAGGAUGACUGCCCUAUGGGUUGUAAACUUCUUUUAUAAAGGAAUAAAGUCGGGUAUGUAUACCCGUUUGCAUGUACUUUAUGAAUAAGGAUCGGCUAACUCCGUGCCAGCAGCCGCGGUAAUACGGAGGAUCCGAGCGUUAUCCGGAUUUAUUGGGUUUAAAGGGAGCGUAGAUGGAUGUUUAAGUCAGUUGUGAAAGUUUGCGGCUCAACCGUAAAAUUGCAGUUGAUACUGGAUAUCUUGAGUGCAGUUGAGGCAGGCGGAAUUCGUGGUGUAGCGGUGAAAUGCUUAGAUAUCACGAAGAACUCCGAUUGCGAAGGCAGCCUGCUAAGCUGCAACUGACAUUGAGGCUCGAAAGUGUGGGUAUCAAACAGGAUUAGAUACCCUGGUAGUCCACACGGUAAACGAUGAAUACUCGCUGUUUGCGAUAUACUGCAAGCGGCCAAGCGAAAGCGUUAAGUAUUCCACCUGGGGAGUACGCCGGCAACGGUGAAACUCAAAGGAAUUGACGGGGGCCCGCACAAGCGGAGGAACAUGUGGUUUAAUUCGAUGAUACGCGAGGAACCUUACCCGGGCUUAAAUUGCAGAUGAAUUACGGUGAAAGCCGUAAGCCGCAAGGCAUCUGUGAAGGUGCUGCAUGGUUGUCGUCAGCUCGUGCCGUGAGGUGUCGGCUUAAGUGCCAUAACGAGCGCAACCCUUGUUGUCAGUUACUAACAGGUUUUGCUGAGGACUCUGACAAGACUGCCAUCGUAAGAUGUAAGGAAGGUGGA